Salvelinus fontinalis (brook trout) is the source of this 4648-nucleotide RNA transcript. It is a transcript of the gene named KH domain-containing, RNA-binding, signal transduction-associated protein 2-like, with no coding region annotated. Lineage: Eukaryota; Metazoa; Chordata; Actinopteri; Salmoniformes; Salmonidae. The transcript has 12 exons. The record is from RefSeq and is a predicted model, not a curated record.
AUUUUCAGCACCAAGGACAGCGGCUGACGGAAAAAUAUUCGCUGUAGCCUACUACAACAGCGCAUUAUCAUAACAGUGUUGAGAUUUGUUGUUUGCGAAUAGUCUGUCUCAUAUGACCAAUCGUGUUUCAGAGGGGCGGGGAACGCCACGCAGUCUCUCUGUAGCUAAGGUGGCUGAUUCUCCAGGAGGGAGUGGGAUGUGGAGAGAUGUGUUUAUAGCUCUGAAUUUCAGUUCUCAGUCAAGCAUCACGUGUAAUUGAAGAGAUUCCUUACGGAUUUUCUUGCGGUAGCCUACCUAUAAAGAGAAUUACCAAGUAGAAGAGAGACGCGCAUUCCGACCCUCAUCACUUUUGUCGUCUCACCUGCACAAGCGGUGAACAGGAGAGGUACCUUAUCAUGGAUCAGGAGAAAUGCUUACCGGAGCUGAUGGCCGAGAAAGAUACGCUGGACUCCUCAUUUGUUCAUGCAAUGCGUCUGCUUGCCGAAGAAAUUGAAAAGUAUGAGGGGGAUGAGUUGAGAAAAGACGGUGACGUCAAGAAAUACCUUGAUGUCAUCAGUAACAAAAACAUCAAGCUCUCGGAAAGAGUACUCAUCCCAGUUCAACAGUACCCAAAGUUUAAUUUUGUUGGGAAGCUGUUGGGUCCACGGGGCAAUUCCAUGAAAAGAUUACAAGAAGAAACAGGAGCAAAGAUGUCCAUCCUCGGAAAAGGCUCCAUGAGGGACAAAGGAAAGGAAGAAGAGUUGAGGAAAAGUGGAGAGGCCAAGUAUGCCCAUUUGAGUAACGAUCUCCACGUUUUAAUUGAAGCCUUCGCUCCACCUGGAGAGGCCUAUUCCCGCAUGAGCCAUGCCUUGGAGGAGAUUAAGAAAUUCCUAGUUCCAGACUACAAUGAUGAGAUCAGACAGGAGCAGCUGAGGGAGCUCUCCUACUUGAACGGAGGAUCAGAAGACACCAGCAGAGGGAGGACUGUACGUGGGCGGGGCUUACGACUGGCUUCCACCACAAACACACGGGCACGGGGAGGAGCGGCCCCACCACCUCCACCAGUCAGGGGGGCAGCUGUACCCAGGGGAACAGUGGGUAAGCGGAGUGUCCUGCCACAAGCCACAUUAACGAGAGGAGUACCCGCUCCCAGGGCCAGGGGAACACCAGGGAACCCCGGAUACAGACCCCCACUGUUACCCAUCACACACGAAUCAUACGACGACUACGGCUAUGAUGAUGGAUAUGACGGUGAAUAUGAUGACCAGAGUUAUGAUGCCUAUGAGGAGAACUACAGCAAUCAGUCAAAGAGCAUUUCUGAAUAUUACGAAUAUGGCCAUGGAACCAAUGACGAAGCCUACAACAAUUACGAAGAGGAGUGGACUACAACCCGUCCGACACUCAAAGCCCCAACAGCAAGGCUCUCACGAGGGGGCUACAGAGAACAUCCCUAUGGUAGAUAUUGAAGGUGUAACAUAUUGUGUGAACUGUUCAAUAAGGGGAGUGUGAGAGUAUGGAACACACAGUAAACUCUUCCCUGGGGACCGCAGAGUGCCUCCGCCUAUCUGAAGUGCUGGGCACAACCAGAAAUUAGCCUUGUGCAAAUGAGCAUGAGUCAACCUGGGGAUUUGGGAAGGAAUCAAAGACACUUGCAAGUCUUUCAGUCCAAGACUAACCAUUGACAGUAAGAUAAGUAAACCCAUGUUAUAUUCUGCAUGAUUAUGUUAAAAUGCUGUACAGUAUAUACCAUAGUAACACUGCAGUUAACCCUUAUUGUACUCAAAUGCGCAUAUGAAUGUUCUCCACCAUUUUGGCAUGAAGAGAGAGAUUAUUUGGAGCAGAUGUAGGGGGUAUUACCAGGGAAAGAUUCACUCACACAAGUUAAUAAGCAACACCAGUUGAGUUUUCAGCUGAGUGCAUUACCCAGGCCAUGCAUGAAAUGGUUUCAUUUUCCAUCACUGUUUGUUUUCCCUGAUCAUUUCCAUGAUAGAGAAAGAAAACGGAAUUACUGUUGUUGAACCUAUUGAGGUGUACAGCUCCCCAGUCCUGCCAGUUCACAAAUGAGCUUGGCAUCUGGGUCGAUUGCAUGGCAAGGAUGGUGUCUGCAUAGGCUCAGCACGCAAGGAAGUGUCUCCUGCCAACCACUGCCAGUGACUGACUGUGUCACGCCUGCUCCCGCUCCCCUUUUCUGGCGCUCGAGGGCCAUCAUUACACACACCUGUCACCUCUGUUAUGCACAUCAGCGCUUCAUUGGACUCACCUGGACUCCAUCACUUAUUGAUUGCAUCCCCUAUAUCUGUCUAUUCCUCAGUUUCAUCCCCGUGUCAGCAUUAAUGUAGUUUUUGUUCCCCCUGUCCCCCUUGUUGUGUUUCAUGUUGGUUAUUUAUUGAAUAUUCACUACCUGUAUUUGCUUCUCGUCUCCCAGCGUCUGUCCUCACAGAAUGCUGACACCACAACAUCAGGGAGAUUUUUGUUGGUGACGUCGAGUGCCACUCCCGAAGGAACCGGGGGUGCCUCAGCUGGCUUGUCAGGCUUCCAUGCCUUAGCUGGCUCGAGAGGUUUUCUUGCCUCGGUUGGCUCGACAGGCUCCCAUCCCACGUCAUUCCUCAGCCGGCUCGUCGAGCUCCCACGCCUCAGCCGGCUGGUUGGGCUCCCACGCCUCAGCCGGCUGGUUGGGCUUCCACGCAUCAGCCGGCUGGUUGGGCUCACACGCCUCAGCCGGCUGGUUGGGCUCCCAUGCCUCGGCUGGCCCAGCAGGCUCGCCCAGGUGGGACGCCUGGUGGCGCCCCUAGAGGGGGGGUACUGUCACGCCUGCUCCCGCUCCCCCUCUCUGGCGCUCGAUGGCGCCAGGCGGCCCAUCAUUACCCACACCUGUCAUCAUUGUUACACACAUCAGCGCUUCAUUGGACUCACUUGGACUCCAUCACUUAUUGAUUGCCUCCCCUAUAUCUAUCUAUUCCUCAGUUUCAUCCCCGUGUCAGCACUAAUGUCGUUUUUGUUUCCCCUGUCCAGACGCUCCUUGUUUUGUUUCAUGUUGGUUAUUUACUAAAUAUUCACUCCCUGUACUCGCUUCUCGUCUCCCAGCGUCUGUCCUCACAGACUGGCUGACUGGCAUGGGGAGGCGAGGGGGAGAAGCUAACGGGUGUCUAGACCAGACAGCAGUCAGUGAGCCUUUGCUCAUCACCACAACAGUCUUAUUUAUUCAGGAACAUCCACAAACUUACAGCACUCAGUAGUUGCAGUUUCAAAUUGAUUGCAGUUUCAAAUUCAAAUUGCAGAGAAAAGCCACAAAGCCAUGUUUUCUAACUUACCCAAAGACUACAAUAACACCAUCAAGAAGAUUGUCAAGCUGUGUCUCUUGCCUGUUUUUCAGAUGUGCAAAUGGUUCUGUGGAUGUGUAGCAUGUUCCCUGUCCAUGUCAACAAGUCAACUUGGCCAGGUGAAUGCCUACACUUUAUCAUGCAUGUAUUUUAUCAUUGUGAUUAAGUUAGCCAUGUCAUACUAGUUUGUUGUGUUUCCAUACAACCUUCAUUUCCACUGAAUUGCAUGCUUAUACUGUAGUUUUGAUUGGAUUUGACUUUGAUACAAGACAUCAGCUUUUGUUAUUGCUGAAAAGUUGAGCAGAACUUAUACUCUUCCCUUGAAGCAACAUAAGAGGUUUCCCCAGUUCACCAGGGUUUUUUCCCCAGUUCACCAGGGUUUUUUCCCCAGUUCACCGGGGUUUUUCCAGUUCACCGGGGGUUUUCCAGUUCACCAAGGUUUCACUCGUUCACCAGGGUUGUACUAUAGUAAGUAUACAGUAGUUUCACCAGUAUCACCUCUCCUACCUUUUCCAUCCCAGAGAGCAGAUCAUUGCUAUAGACAUGCUAUGGUACCCAGGGGAAAGCACAGCCACACUUCCCCACUGCCCCUCACCCACAGCCACACUUCCCCACUGCCCCUCACCCACAGCCACACUUCCCCACUGCCCCUCACCCACAGGCGCACUGCACCCUUGAUGUCAAACCCACAUUAACAGAGAGUAGCCAGGGGUUGUAGAGAGAUAUGGUCAAAGGGAAUACUGUAGGGACUGGAGGGAGGCAUACCAGCCAUGAUGCUCAACAGAUAACUUUAAGGCUCAUGUUGAUGCACAACAAGGACAAGAGUGUCAUCUGCCAAAAAGAAGUGAGGAGGCUUUAUUUGUAUGUGCUAAUUAUAUAUGUCACUUAUUUUCUCUGUUUCUAAAGCAUGCUGUCUAUAAAUUCAUUUUCUACACAAAAGCCCCCAAAAAUGUAUUACGGGCAUGCAGAACUAAUAGAUGUUUACUCAACUGUAGCUCGACCUGAGAUAUUUCUUUCGUUCUCUUUCCCCUCACCACAGGCAGUGAAAUAUACGUGCUGUUUCUGUAUUGUAUUUCCUCUGCUGCCAUUCUACUGUGUUGAACGAAGGGACAAACAGGACAAAUCAAUUCUACAUUUGCUUUCACUUAAAUGCUGACAUUGUAUGUAAUGAGGUUCGUAUGUGAUGAGGUUCGUGUGUAAUGAAGUUCGUAGGUAAACUUAAACUGUGCAGUUAAAAGUGUGCUGUGCCAUUGUUCGAUUUCAAAGCAGAUAUCAACACAAUAGGUCAACAUGUAUAAUUCAGCAAAUGUUAGUGUAUUUACAUUAAAAUCACUUUUUAUCAUACAGAA